RNAcentral lists this long non-coding RNA (934 nucleotides) under Chinchilla lanigera (long-tailed chinchilla). RNAcentral describes it as "lncRNA (ENSCLAG00000022512.1)". The record is from RNAcentral. Lineage: Eukaryota; Metazoa; Chordata; Mammalia; Rodentia; Chinchillidae.
UUUCAACAACCUCUGCCCUUGCCUCUUCAGCUUAGUGAUACCAUCUGUCUCCUCCUUGGGGUCCACUUUACUCCAAGGUCCUCCAAAAACUACUCCCAACCAGAAAAUCAGGGGAACCUCAUAUCAGCAAAAGGAUUAUCUGACAAAUCACAAGUCUCUUUGGUUUUGUCUCCAGAGUGCUUUACUAGAUACAUACUGGUACUGCUCAGAUGACUCUCAAUCCCACAGGACCAGACUCAGCCAUCAGCCAUCCAUACAUGGCUCCCACGGACUGCAAUGACUCCCACUGACUUCCAUGGAAAAAAGCCAAAUUCCGCGGAAGGGGUGUAAAUACAACUUUAUUUGAAGUUACUGGGGGUCACAUAUAUAUCCCAGGGCAGAGUUUGGCUCAGGGAUUCUAGACUAAUCAAUUGCUGCCUUUGCGUGCAAAGCAAUGGAAAAAAUAUUACCACUACAAAAGUAAACCGAAUGUUAAUGACAGCUCUCCAAGAGAAAUCUAGAGAAGACUUCUCAAAGAAGUAUAAAAACAUUGUUACACCGUUAGCACACUUCUAGAGACUGUAAGCAAUUAGAACUCAAAUAAAAUAUAGGUUGCCAUGAAAAAUUUUUUGCAUAAUACAGUAUUCUCACACAGAUCUGCCUCUCAUACCAUUCCAAGCUUUGCUCUUUCUUUCUGUGACUAUGUUAAUCUUCUGGCCUUGACCUAUCUUUAGCAUGCGCUAGUUACUUGAAAUAAUGUUCAUCGUUUUCACUUGAACCUAAAUACAUACUAAAGGUACAUGUUAGUAUGGUGCCUUCUCCUUUUCCCCUAUCAGUUCUCCAACUCUGAAACACUCAGCGCCAGCUGUAGUAAAGGGAAUUACUGUCAUUUUUAUUUAUAAUUUUGUCUUUGUUGAACUCCUUUCCUAUUGAAACAAUUCACCCAUUUUUUUUA